GAUGAACGCUGGCGGCGUGCUUAACACAUGCAAGUCGAACGAAGCAUUUUACCGAAAUUUCUUCGGAGAGGAAAGUGAAAUGACUGAGUGGCGGACGGGUGAGUAACGCGUGGAUAACCUGCCAUAUACAGGGGGAUAACAGUUAGAAAUGACUGCUAAUACCGCAUAAGCGCACAGUAUCGCAUGAUACGGUGUGAAAAACUACGGUGGUAUAUGAUGGAUCCGCGUCUGAUUAGCUAGUUUGGCGGGGUAACGGCCCACCAAGUCGACGAUCGGUAGCCGGACUGAGAGGUUGAACGGCCACAUUGGGACUGAGACACGGCCCAGACUCCUACGGGAGGCAGCAGUGGGGGGAUAUUGCACAAUGGGCGAAAGCCUGAUGCAGCAACGCCGCGUGAGGGAAGGAAGGCCUCGGUUGGUAAGGUACGUACUGUCUUCGGAGGGACGGAACGAAACUAAGUACGGUACCGUACCGGUACGGGAACGGACCGACCGGACCGGUAACUAACCGUUACGCCGUACGACACGCCGCC
Molecule: ribosomal RNA, 533 nt
Filed under: uncultured bacterium
Lineage: Bacteria
Description: bacterial SSU rRNA
Rfam family: Bacterial small subunit ribosomal RNA
Source: RNAcentral